This 86-nucleotide transfer RNA is filed under the name Fasciola gigantica. RNAcentral's name for it is "tRNA-Tyr". Lineage: Eukaryota; Metazoa; Platyhelminthes; Trematoda; Plagiorchiida; Fasciolidae. The record is from RNAcentral.
GGCCUCGUAGCUCAGCUGGUAGAGCACUCGCGGUACUAGAGCGAGGGUGGUGACCCAUGCGUGGGUUCCGAAUCCCGCCGAGGCCG